AUACGGAGGGUGCAAGCGUUAAUCGGAAUUACUGGGCGUAAAGCGCGCGUAGGCGGUUUAGUAAGUCGGAUGUGAAAGCCCUGGGCUCAACCUGGGAAUUGCAUUCGAUACUGCUGGACUAGAGUAUGGUAGAGGGAAGUGGAAUUUCCGGUGUAGCGGUGAAAUGCGUAGAUAUCGGAAGGAACACCAGUGGCGAAGGCGACUUCCUGGGCCAAUACUGACGCUGAGGUGCGAAAGCGUGGGGAGCAAACAGGAUUAGAUACCCGAGUAGUCC
This 274-nucleotide ribosomal RNA is filed under the name uncultured bacterium. RNAcentral describes it as "partial 16S ribosomal RNA". It matches the Rfam family "Bacterial small subunit ribosomal RNA", at positions 523 to 796 of the family's 1533-position model. The record is from RNAcentral.